UUGAAAAUUUGAGACCGCGCUGGGCACUCUAUAAGACCCUAAGCAUAAUUUUUGGACGCCCGUUGCAUGCCCCGGCGGGUGA
This 82-nucleotide small nuclear RNA is filed under the name Caenorhabditis briggsae. Its description in RNAcentral is "sRNA CBG29705". Lineage: Eukaryota; Metazoa; Nematoda; Chromadorea; Rhabditida; Rhabditidae. The record is from RNAcentral.